Molecule: RNA transcript, 1647 nt
Organism: Oryza sativa Japonica Group (Japanese rice)
Lineage: Eukaryota; Viridiplantae; Streptophyta; Magnoliopsida; Poales; Poaceae
Source: RefSeq, a predicted model, not a curated record
UUAGGAGCAGCGGGAAAGCGAUAAGGAAAGCGACAGCCAUAGCCACUCGCUGCGCCUCCUCCUCAUCGCCUCGCCGUCGCCGGAGAAGACAACCAUGACCACCAUCGCCGCGCGGAUGCCGUUUGCGGGCCCACGCCUCAGGCCUCCCUGCAACCUCACCGCCUCGAGGCCGGGUCCCAGGAGGGCCGGGCUGGCCGUCGUCUCCGCCGCCGCCGGUGGCCCGCUUCCCACCGUGCUCGUCACCGGCGCAGGCGGCCGAACAGGCCAGAUUGUGUACAAGAAGCUCAAGGAGAGGGCAGACCAAUUUGUGGGGAGAGGGCUAGUCAGGACUGAAGAGAGCAAAGCCAAGAUUGGGGGCGCUGCCGACGUGUUCGUCGGGGACAUAAGAGAUCCCGCGAGCAUUGCUCCUGCCAUUGACGGCAUCGACGCGCUUAUCAUCCUCACCAGUGCGGUUCCGAAAAUGAAGCCUGGGUUUGAUCCCAGCAAGGGGGGACGCCCAGAGUUCUACUUUGAGGAUGGCUCUUAUCCUGAGCAGGUGGAUUGGAUUGGCCAGAGGAAUCAAAUAGAUGCUGCCAAGAGCAUUGGUGUAAAACAGGUGGUUUUGGUUGGAUCCAUGGGCGGCACAGAUGUCAAUCACCCACUAAAUAAGUUAGGAAAUGCAAAUAUACUGGUUUGGAAGAGGAAGGCGGAGCAGUACCUAGCAGACUCAGGUCUACCAUAUACAAUUAUAAGGGCUGGAGGAUUACAGGAUAAAGAUGGUGGUGUGCGGGAGUUGCUUGUUGGGAAGGAUGAUGAGAUCUUGAAGACAGAAACAAAAACUAUUACCAGAGCAGAUGUUGCAGAAGUUUGUUUACAGGCCUUGCUAUUUGAGGAGGCAAGGUUUAAGGCAUUUGAUCUGGCAUCAAAACCUGAAGGUGAAGGAGUACCUACAACUGAUUUCAGGGCUCUUUUUUCGCAAGUUAAUAGUCGCUUCUAAGAAGUAUAAUCUGUCAACGAGGCACAAUAUUUGUGAUGGAAUAAUAUGAAGUGUGUAUUGAGUGAGGAGGCUCCUGAUGGAAGAGCUCAAGAACAUUGUUGUCUGCUAAUUAUGGAAAACAGGCAAGUAGUUAAAGUAGACAAACACGCACCUUACUUAUCAGCAGUUCCAAUUCAGCAACAACAUCAUAUAUAGGUUCCUUGAGACACAGAAGUGAAGGAAGAGGGGCAUGGGCCAUGUUCAUUUCAGAUUAUAUAGAGAUCAUGUUGUCCCCAUGAAAUGAAGGGUUCAGAUUGCUCCACCGUUUUUUGGGGGGAUAUUCUUGAUGCAAUAUAAAAAAAGGCGAAUAUUAGGGAUGGCUUGAUGAUCUAAGGCUCCCGUACAUGUUUUUUGCGAGAAAGUAGCUAGCGAGCCCAGCUAGAAACAAUCCUUCUUCUUAAGAUAAUGAGCUAGGAACAUCCUUUUAUUUGUCCAUCUGUAGUUAACUACAAUGCCUUGGCAUCAAGAAUCUCCAAUCAAGAACACGUUCACACUAUAAUGUGUCUAGCAGCAGCUAGCAUCAUUAUCCUAAAAAAAUUUAGCUACAUACAUAAACAUUUAAAAGAGUAAAGUGUAUUGCUGGCACUUAAAUUUGUUCGUCUUAUCUAGGUCCUUGAUAUUGUUAAAGUGUA